This 396-nucleotide ribosomal RNA is filed under the name uncultured bacterium. Its description in RNAcentral is "bacterial SSU rRNA". It matches the Rfam family "Bacterial small subunit ribosomal RNA", at positions 30 to 426 of the family's 1533-position model. The record is from RNAcentral.
AUUGAACGCUGGCGGCAUGCCUUACACAUGCAAGUCGAACGGCAGCACGGGGGCAACCCUGGUGGCGAGUGGCGAACGGGUGAGUAACAUAUCGGAACAUACCCUAGAGUGGGGGAUAACGUAGCGAAAGUUACGCUAAUACCGCAUACGAUCUAAGGAUGAAAGUGGGGGGAUCUUCGGACCUCAUGCUCAUGGAGUGGCCGAUAUCUGAUUAGCUAGUUGGUGAGGUAAAGGCUCACCAAGGCGACGAUCAGUAGCUGGUUUGAGAGAACGACCAGCCACACUGGAACUGAGACACGGUCCAGACUCCUACGGAGGCAGCAGUGGGGAAUUUUGGACAAUGGGGGCAACCCUGAUCCAGCAAUGCCGCGUGAGUGAAGAAGGCCUUCGGGUUGU